Molecule: long non-coding RNA, 1264 nt
Organism: Hemicordylus capensis (graceful crag lizard)
Lineage: Eukaryota; Metazoa; Chordata; Lepidosauria; Squamata; Cordylidae
Exons: 5
Source: RefSeq, a predicted model, not a curated record
GGCUCUUUAGUCAUUUAAUGCUGUCUGUCUGUUCCCGAAGUUUUGUUUCGGACUCUGGCGGGAGGAGCGGAACCGAAACCUCCGCGGAGCAAAUUAAAACCGAGAGGAAAGAGCUGGAAGGGGGAGGCGCCUGGCUCGGGGGGCGCAGACCAGGCCCCAGCUGUGGACAGAAAGCAGCUAACUGAACCAGGAUGGCAACUGCUCAGCUCUCACACACUGGAGUGAAGCAUAAAACCUCCAAGGAAACACUUAUGUUUCCAAACAGAGUUGCUACUGAACAACAAUCAGUAAUUCUGGUGAAAAGGCUGCUGGCGAUUUCAGUGUCCUGUAUAACUUACCUCCGAGGGCUCUUUCCAGAAAACUCUUAUGGAACUCGCUAUUUGGAUGAUAUGUGUCUAAAAAUCCUUCGUGAAGACAAAAGCUGCCAGGGCUCACUACAGAUAGUCAAAUGAACCACUUGAAGUUACAGGUGAAACAGAUCUGGAUCCCGUAUAACAUUUGUGCCAGUGUUUUGGCCCGGUACACCUUAACGACUGCUGGGAAGAACGAACAAAGUGUGCAGACGGCAACAAACAGGGCUGGGAAGCCGGCUCGGACUGGCCUGCCUGGCAACAAGGCAUUCUCCCGGUGCGCCCUGCUGCCCUCCGAGUGUGAGCGCCCUCCCGCCUUCGCGGCGCCUCCCUCCAUGGCGCCUCCCUCUCUCUUGCAGGGCACAGCCACCAGGGAAUCUCCCCGGUGUGUGCGCCCUGCUGCCAGCGGCCGCGCCUCAGCCUGGAUUUGUAUGGAACACUGAGCCAAGCCAAGGAAGUUGCUGCCUGUUGUGUUGGUCUCCUUCAAGAAGGAAAGUAACACAUUUGGUUAAAAAAACAACCAUUUGCUGUUUGUUUUGUGUGUGAUUUGUUCCCCUUAGUCAAGCUACCGUGUUGGCUCUCUCUCCCCCCACCCGCAGGAACCAUGUGUGUGCGUGUUGUACAAGUGAGAGAAGUCCCAUUGUUUGUGUGUGUGUGAGAGAGAGAGAGAGAGAGGGAGUUUUAAGCUUUUUUAAAAAAAAUUCAAAGUAUGUUAAAACUUCUAGUGCAAACCUUCUUGUGAGAAAAUUAGUCAAGCAAAAGUAUUAAAAGCUUUGAAAAGAAUGGUGUGUGUGGGGGGGGGGGGAAUGCUCUUACAAAAUGGAUGUUUUUGUUCCUGUUCCUAGCUCUAAUCUGUCUCUGUGUGGGGGUUUCUUCUCCCCCCAUCCCACCCUUAUUAAAAAUAUUGAUAUGCA